UACGAAGGGGGCUAGCGUUGCUCGGAAUCACUGGGCGUAAAGCGCACGUAGGCGGCUUCUUAAGUCAGGGGUGAAAUCCUGGAGCUCAACUCCAGAACUGCCCUUGAUACUGAGAGGCUCGAGUCCGGGAGAGGUGAGUGGAACUCCGAGUGUAGAGGUGAAAUUCGUAGAUAUUCGGAAGAACACCAGUGGCGAAGGCGGCCUUCUGGACCAGUACUGACGCUGAGGCACGAAAGCGUGGGGAGCAAACAGG
Molecule: ribosomal RNA, 253 nt
Filed under: uncultured bacterium
Lineage: Bacteria
Description: partial 16S ribosomal RNA
Rfam family: Bacterial small subunit ribosomal RNA
Source: RNAcentral